AACGAACGCUGGCGGCAUGCCUAACACAUGCAAGUCGAACGAGACCUUCGGGUCUAGUGGCGCACGGGUGCGUAACGCGUGGGAACCUGCCUUUAGGUUCGGAAUAAACUCAGAGAAAUUUGAGCUAAUACCGGAUGAUGUCUUCGGACCAAAGAUUUAUCGCCUUUAGAUGGGCCCGCGUAAGAUUAGCUAGUUGGUGGGGUAAAGGCCUACCAAGGCGACGAUCUUUAGCUGGUCUGAGAGGAUGAUCAGCCACACUGGGACUGAGACACGGCCCAGACUCCUACGGGAGGCAGCAGUGGGGAAUAUUGGACAAUGGGCGGAAAAGCCCUGAUCCAGCAAUGCCGCGUGAGUGAUGAA
This 360-nucleotide ribosomal RNA is filed under the name uncultured bacterium. RNAcentral's name for it is "bacterial SSU rRNA". It matches the Rfam family "Bacterial small subunit ribosomal RNA", at positions 29 to 412 of the family's 1533-position model. The record is from RNAcentral.